This 448-nucleotide ribosomal RNA is filed under the name uncultured bacterium. Its description in RNAcentral is "bacterial SSU rRNA". It matches the Rfam family "Bacterial small subunit ribosomal RNA", at positions 337 to 797 of the family's 1533-position model. The record is from RNAcentral.
UCCUACGGGAGGCAGCAGUGGGGAAUAUUGCGCAAUGGGCGAAAGCCUGACGCAGCGACGCCGCGUGAGGGAUGACGGCCUUCGGGUUGUAAACCUCUUUCAGCAGGGACGAAGCGAAAGUGACGGUACCUGCAGAAGAAGCGCCGGCCAACUACGUGCCAGCAGCCGCGGUAAUACGUAGGGCGCAAGCGUUGUCCGGAAUUAUUGGGCGUAAAGAGCUCGUAGGCGGUCUGUCGCGUCGGCUGUGAAAACCCGGGGCUCAACCCCGGGCCUGCAGUCGAUACGGGCAGACUAGAGUGCGGUAGGGGAGACUGGAAUUCCUGGUGUAGCGGUGAAAUGCGCAGAUAUCAGGAGGAACACCGGUGGCGAAGGCGGGUCUCUGGGCCGUAACUGACGCUGAGGAGCGAAAGCGUGGGGAGCGAACAGGAUUAGAUACCCCGGUAGUCCG